GUGAUCUGGAAGAAAACAUAAAUUCAUCACUAAUAAAGUUUACAGAUGACGCACAAACUGGAAGAGUGGUAAAUAAUGAAACAGGCAAGUCCCUGAUUCAGAGUUGUGUGGAUCACUUGAGUCAUUGAUUCCCAGGAUAAUGAGCUGAACAUGAAUGCCUAGUAUGACACUAUUGCCAAAAGAGCAAAUGUGAUCCUUGGAUUUAUAAACAGGGGACCGUCAAGUAGCUGUAACUGGUGUCCCCUUCAUAGCAAUCCUUCCGGGAAAUAUGAGCAUUUUUACUCCACUUCCAUUGGUGUUGAUAGAGGAAUGAAAGUGACCGGGACCUGGAAGCAAGCAGUUUUCUUCUCUGUUUAUUAAAAAAAGAAUGGUGGGGCAGGUGGCAGGAAAUUUCAGAUGGGGAUUUUCACACCUCACAGGGCCAUGUUCCUCUUUAAAAACUCUGAAGCCAAAAGAAUAUGGAGUGAAGGCCUGAUCCUGGUAACUCUUGGCUAAACUAGUAGCCUCACGAACAGAUUUAUAGGGUCUUGCCACAGCUUUCCUUUAUCCUGCAAGCAUCCUUCUUAAUAUAGUGGACCAAUUUCCUGCUAACCUUGAACAGAGCUAGAACCAAUCACAGAAAACAAUUAGCUGGUAAGAAGAUUGAUAUUCUGUGGCCUGGCUGCCAUUUGACUGCAGGGUGUCUUUGGCGUUUAGCUUCUCUUACAUACUUCUCAGGCAAAGCUUCUCAUAGUAAUUGCCUCAUCUAUCAAUUACAAUGGCUGCUGUUUUGUCUCAGGGUGCAAUCCUGCAGAUACUGUGGUGAGUAGUUGUGCUGAUUUCCAGGGCUUGGAUUUCUGUUCCAGUCUUUGAAAGGAACAAUGGUGGAAUUCUGGUUUCAAAUAUCUGUACUUAAGGGACCACAGAGUGAAAUAAUGGGUCCAGGGCGCUUGAUAGUCUGGCUCAAUUGGUCCAAUAAGCAGCAGAUGAGAGGUUUUGUUUUCCUGGAUGCCUUCUGAGGUUGAAUCCAGCAACUCUCCAAACGCUCAGGAUCCUUUCAAAGGGAGAGCUAUUAUCUUACUUUUGAGGGUAAGUGAUCCACCUGACAGUGUAAGAUGGAAGCUAGAUGGGUCUGGUUGAAGCACUUGUGAUGUUAACAGAUAAUUUAAGUAAAACAAUCUUUACUUAGGGGGAGGGCUAGCUCAGUAGUUUGGGCA
This is a non-coding RNA of Pelodiscus sinensis (Chinese soft-shelled turtle), 1196 nucleotides long. The record is from RefSeq and is a predicted model, not a curated record. Lineage: Eukaryota; Metazoa; Chordata; Testudines; Trionychidae.